Molecule: ribosomal RNA, 497 nt
Filed under: uncultured bacterium
Lineage: Bacteria
Description: partial 16S ribosomal RNA
Rfam family: Bacterial small subunit ribosomal RNA
Source: RNAcentral
GAUGAACGCUGGCGGCGUGCCUAAUACAUGCAAGUCGAGCGAACAGACGAGGAGCUUGCUCCUCUGACGUUAUCGGCGGACGGGUGAGUAACACGUGGAUAACCUACCUAUAAGACUGGGAUAACUUCGGGAAACCGGAGCUAAUACCGGAUAAUAUAUUGAACCGCAUGGUUCAAUAGUGAAAGACGGUUUUGCUGUCACUUAUAGAUGGAUCCGCGCCGCAUUAGCUAGUUGGUAAGGUAACGGCUUACCAAGGCAACGAUGCAUAGCCGACCUGAGAGGGUGAUCGGCCACACUGGAACUGAGACACGUUCCAGACUCCUACGGGAGGCAGCAGUAGGGAAUCUUCCGCAAUGGGCGAAAGCCUGACGGAGCAACGCCGCGGGAGUGAUGAAGGUCUUCGGAUCGUAAAACUCUGUUAUUAGGGAAGAACAAAUGUGUAAGUAACUAUGAACGUCUUGACGGUACCUAAUCAGAAAGCCACGGCUAACUACGUG